Molecule: unclassified non-coding RNA, 234 nt
Filed under: uncultured fungus
Lineage: Eukaryota; Fungi
Description: sequence contains ITS1, 5.8S rRNA gene
Rfam family: 5.8S ribosomal RNA (bases 186-234)
Source: RNAcentral
UCUCCGUUGGUGAACCAGCGGAGGGAUCAUUACUGAGUUUACGCUCUAUAACCCUUUGUGAACCUACUAUUUUGUUGCCUCGGCGGGUUCUGCCUCCCAUCUCGGGAGCAGGCUCAAGCCCGCCGGUGGCCCAACUAAACUCUUGUAUUAUUUGUUAUCUGAGAGUUAUUUUUAAAAUAAGUCAAAACUUUCAACAACGGAUCUCUUGGUUCUGGCAUCGAUGAAGAACGCAGC